GACGAACGCUGGCGGCGCGCCUAACACAUGCAAGUCGAACGGAGCUGAGAGAAGCUUGCUUUUCUUAGCUUAGUGGCGCACGGGUGAGUAACGCGUGAGUAACCUGCCCUGGAGUGGGGGACAGCAGUUGGAAACGACUGCUAAUACCGCAUAAGCCCACGAUCCGGCAUCGGAUUGAGGGAAAAGGAUUUAUUCGCUUCAGGAUGGACUCGCGUCCAAUUAGCUAGUUGGUGAGGUAACGGCCCACCAAGGCGACGAUUGGUAGCCGGACUGAGAGGUUGAACGGCCACAUUGGGACUGAGACACGGCCCAGACUCCUACGGGAGGCAGCAGUGGGGGAUAUUGCACAAUGGGGGAAACCCUGAUGCAGCGACGCCGCGUGGAGGAAGAAGGUUUUCGGAUUGUAAACUCCUGUCGUUAGGGACGAUAAUGACGGUACCUAACAAGAAAGCACCGGCUAACUACGUG
This 468-nucleotide ribosomal RNA is filed under the name uncultured bacterium. Its description in RNAcentral is "partial 16S ribosomal RNA". It matches the Rfam family "Bacterial small subunit ribosomal RNA", at positions 28 to 507 of the family's 1533-position model. The record is from RNAcentral.